CAUUACACAAAUAUGAAGGCGGGCUGGAACCUCUCGGGGUUACAGCCUUGCUGAAUUAUUCACCCUUGUCUUUUGCGUACUUCUUGUUUCCUUGGUGGGUUCGCCCACCACUAGGACAACCAUAAACCUUUUGUAAUUGCAAUCAGCGUCAGUAACAAAUUAAUAAUUACAACUUUCAACAACGGAUCUCUUGGUUCUGGCAUCGAUGAAGAACGCAGCGAAAUGCGAUAAGUAGUGUGAAUUGCAGAAUUCAGUGAAUCAUCGAAUCUUUGAACGCACAUUGCGCCCUUUGGUAUUCCAAAGGGCAUGCCUGUUCGAGCGUCAUUUGUACCCUCAAGCUUUGCUUGGUGUUGGGCGUCUUGUCUCUAGCUUUGCUGGAGACUCGCCUUAAAGUAAUUGGCAGCCGGCCUACUGGUUUCGGAGCGCAGCACAAGUCGCACUCUCUAUCAGCAAAGGUCUAGCAUCCAUUAAGCCUUUUUUUCAACUUUUGACCUCGGAUCAGGUAGGGAUACCCGCUGAACUUAAGCAUAUCAAUAAGCGGAGGAAAAAAAAA
This 553-nucleotide unclassified non-coding RNA is filed under the name Alternaria compacta. RNAcentral's name for it is "contains 18S rRNA gene, ITS1, 5.8S rRNA gene, ITS2 and 28S rRNA gene". The stretch from base 171 to 324 matches the Rfam family "5.8S ribosomal RNA". Lineage: Eukaryota; Fungi; Ascomycota; Dothideomycetes; Pleosporales; Pleosporaceae. The record is from RNAcentral.